This 447-nucleotide ribosomal RNA is filed under the name uncultured bacterium. Its description in RNAcentral is "partial 16S ribosomal RNA". It matches the Rfam family "Bacterial small subunit ribosomal RNA", at positions 329 to 792 of the family's 1533-position model. The record is from RNAcentral.
AUCCAGACUCCUACGGGAGGCAGCAGUGGGGAAUAUUGCACAAUGGGGGAAACCCUGAUGCAGCGACGCCGCGUGAGUGAAGAAGUAUUUCGGUAUGUAAAGCUCUAUCAGCAGGGAAGAAGGAGGACGGUACCUGACUAAGAAGCCCCGGCUAACUACGUGCCAGCAGCCGCGGUAAUACGUAGGGGGCAAGCGUUAUCCGGAUUUACUGGGCGUAAAGGGAGCGCAGGCGGCGCGCCAAGUCUGAUGUGAAACCCCGGGGCUCAACCCCGGGCAUGCAUUGGAAACUGGCGGGCUGGAGUGCCGGAGAGGUAAGCGGAAUUCCUAGUGUAGCGGUGAAAUGCGUAGAUAUUAGGAGGAACACCAGUGGCGAAGGCGGCCUGCUGGACAGCGACUGACGUUGAGGCUCGAAAGCGUGGGGAGCAAACAGGAUUAGAUACCCCUAUA